Molecule: transfer RNA, 65 nt
Filed under: Dipodomys ordii (Ord's kangaroo rat)
Lineage: Eukaryota; Metazoa; Chordata; Mammalia; Rodentia; Heteromyidae
Rfam family: tRNA
About the family: Transfer RNA (tRNA) molecules are approximately 80 nucleotides in length.
Source: Rfam by way of RNAcentral
GGUGGCUCAGAGGUAGGGUGCUUGCCUUGCAUGCAUGAGGCCCUGGGUUCGAUUCCUCAGCACCA